This 468-nucleotide ribosomal RNA is filed under the name uncultured bacterium. RNAcentral describes it as "partial 16S ribosomal RNA". It matches the Rfam family "Bacterial small subunit ribosomal RNA", at positions 28 to 507 of the family's 1533-position model. The record is from RNAcentral.
GACGAACGCUGGCGGCGUGCUUAACACAUGCAAGUCGAACGGAAAGGCCCUGCUUUUGUGGGGUGCUCGAGUGGCGAACGGGUGAGUAACACGUGAGUAACCUGCCCUUGACUUUGGGAUAACUUCAGGAAACUGGGGCUAAUACCGGAUAGGAGCUCCUGCUGCAUGGUGGGGGUUGGAAAGUUUCGGCGGGUGGGGAUGGACUCGCGGCUUAUCAGCUUGUUGGUGGGGUGGUGGCUUACCAAGGCUUUGACGGGUAGCCGGCCUGAGAGGGUGACCGGCCACAUUGGGACUGAGAGACGGCCCAGACUCCUACGGGGGGCAGCAGUGGGGAAUAUUGCACAAUGGGCGGAAGCCUGAUGCAGCAACGCCGCGUGCGGGAUGACGGCCUUCGGGUUGUAAACCGCUUUCGCCUGUGACGAAGCGUGAGUGACGGUAAUGGGUAAAGAAGCACCGGCUAACUACGUG